UAUUCUGCCCCACGGGGAAGGAUGAGAAGCUUCGACUAAGGUUCGACUCGAGCGUAGCGAGAGAACGUUGCCGCAGGCAACGGCCCGAAGGGCGAGGCGCUUUAGCGCCGAGUCAUCCUUCCCCCACCACCA
This 132-nucleotide small RNA is filed under the name Klebsiella quasipneumoniae. RNAcentral's name for it is "RtT sRNA". It matches the Rfam family "RtT RNA". Rfam says of the family: This family represents a bacterial cis-regulatory element known as RtT RNA. The exact function of RtT is unknown although it is thought that it may be involved in changing the cellular response in relation to amino acid starvation. Lineage: Bacteria; Pseudomonadati; Pseudomonadota; Gammaproteobacteria; Enterobacterales; Enterobacteriaceae. RNAcentral also lists the same sequence under 2 other names. The record is from RNAcentral.